Long non-coding RNA from Salvia miltiorrhiza (redroot sage), 637 nucleotides. RefSeq lists it as uncharacterized. The record is from RefSeq and is a predicted model, not a curated record. The transcript is spliced from 2 exons. Lineage: Eukaryota; Viridiplantae; Streptophyta; Magnoliopsida; Lamiales; Lamiaceae.
CAGAGACCAUUCCGCCGCUGCAUGUGCCUUCUCCGGCCGUUGUGAAAAGCCGAGCGUCGCCGCGCCGCUUCCCCCGUUCUCCGCCGUCUCCGCCAUGGCCGGAAUCGUGGUGGAUGGCCGAGCCUUGCCUCGCCGUGAAGAACCGCCGUUCGUGUCGCUGCGCCGCUGCUUCCGCCGCGUCGCCGGAAAAGAUAAGUCUCUCCCCCUUUUCUCUCUUUUAUUUUUUUUUUAUUUUAAACUGAAAUCCUAACCAAUUCUCUCUCUACCCUCUUCUCUCCCAUUUUGGCAGGACAAGGAAAAGGCGGCUCGGCGGCACCGUUGCCGUCGCCGGCCCUGAGCAGCCGCCGGCUGUCUCACUCCCUCCCCUGACUCGGACACACAAGGACGGGAGACUCAUCCCCCCAAAUUCCAGUCACACGCACAAAAGCAAAAUUAGGGUUUUAUUAAUCUGUUCUUUCAAUCAUUCAUUUCCUUUUUAUUAAAACUGAUUGUACAUGUAAUAGAUUAGAGACUAUAGUAAAAUGUGUGCGUGUGUAUUAUUCUGUUGGUGGUUCUCUGAUGGUGAUAAGCUGAUGUAAUUGAAACAAUAAUAGUCUAAAAGAAGUGGUAAUGGAUGCGUGUGUUCGAUCUGUUUUCA